CACUGUGACUAAUGGGAUGUUCUGAUUGACCAGACCUAGGUCCUGUGCCUUGGGAUUGGGGGUUAAGAGUUUAGAGAUUGGAGAUUUGAGUCGGGAUGUCAUGAGGUUCACCCCACUGGAACUGCAUGGACCGGAAGUGGGGGAUGGCGUGGCUUCCAGGAGAAACACUGAGGCGCUGUUAGCAGAGGAUGAGGGAUGGAUGCUGGGCUGGUGAGAACAGGUGUCACUGUAAUGCUCUGGAUGCUGCCGUGACCAACAAGCACAGACCAGUUGGUGCAAGUGGAAGCAGGAGAGUCCAGUAAGUCAAGUGCAAAAAAUGUUGAGUGAAGCCUGAGACCAGGGCUUAAGUCUCAGCUUUGCCACCUCCAUGCAGUGGGACCUACUCAGAGCAUCUGCCUUUCUGGGCCUCCAUUUUUCCAUCUGUGAAAUGAAGGCAUCCAGACUAGAUGACUGCCACGGGUUUCCCCAUUCAUUCAGUAUUUAUUCAUGUUUUUUCCUUCAAUCACUAUUUGUUGAAGGGCUUUGGAGUUAGUCUGACCCGAAUCUGUUUUGGCUGUUCUGAUGUUGUUGAGCUGCUUAGGCUUGACUGAUGCACCUCCCCCAGUGUGCUCAGCUGUGUCCUUCCCGGCCACCCGGCAGCCUUGGACGGGAUCCAGCCUCCUCUCGCUCUCCCUGCAGGUGGCCUGGGUCAGUGGCUGCAGGCAUUUGGCCAGCUCAGCCUGCAGUGAUGUGGCCUGAGUUGUGGUCCAGUCUCUCAACAUCCCCAGCUGUCAUCCGAGCAGUCCUGACCAAACCUUUGACAAGUGGGGGUGCGGUGGGAGUAGGGGCAGGAGGAGUAGGGGUAGUGGGUAGGGGACCCCAGGGUGGAUGGGGAUAGGGGUGGAGGGCCUCUGGCACCUCCCCUUCCACACUCAGGUGAAGCUCUGGGUGUGGAACUGGCUGCCCUCAUGGCUGCCCAGAGGCACAACUAACAGCCCAGAAGGGAGGAGCAUCUGGGUCCAACUCUGCCUAGUGGUAGACAGGAUAGGGGACCUGCCAGCAGAUGAAGUUCUUGCCCUUCAUCCCUGCAAUGUUUCAUGGGGCUCCUCCGGAGACACCCUGAGGGAUGGAGCUCCCGUGUUUUCUUGAGCAGCCAUGCCAACCAAGGAAGACAUGUCUUUCCUCCUUCCCUGCCUCACAGUCUCUCAUCCUCCGCUUUUUUUGGGCUAGGAUUAUAUCCCCAGUAAAGUGCAUUAGCAUGUAAGUUUUGCCUCAUGCUUUAUUUUCUAGGGAACCUACCUACACUGGGAUGCUAGCUGUGUGACCUCGAGCAAUUUGCUAAACCUCUCUGAGCUUCAGAGCCAUCAUCUCUAAAGGAGAUAAUAUUAGAGUAUCUUUUACAGGAUUGUGGUGUUUAAUGAGACAGUACAUGCAAAGUUCUUGGCUCAGUGUCAGCUUUUAUUAGUAUUGUUACUGUGAAUGAGGCACUGGAUUGUAUCAUGUGAAAACAUUUAUUCAACACUAAAAUCCAUGAAUAUUUAUUGUCAGCUCUGUUUCAGGUACUAUGCUAGUCUCUGCUCCCAUGGGCUCAUAGUCUAGAAAGUGAGACAGAGCACUAACUGGGCAACUCUGCCACAGUGCUGUCAGCGCUCUAGUCCCGGGGAGAGGCUUCAGAAACCGUGGCAUGGUACUCGGGGAGGGCUUCUCCGAGGAGCUGAUGUUAAGGCUGAAGCAUAUGUAGUUGUUGCAGAUGAUGUGCAGGUAGAAGAUGAAGUGGUCCAGACAGGGCAUGGCAUGGGCAAAGGCACAGUGUUGAGGGGAAAACAUUUCAAAGAAUAUACUGGCUCUUACCCUCAGGAAGCACAUAGAUUACAGGAGAAACACAAUGGAUAAAUAUGCACUGAUGAAAAUACAUAAAUAUGGUCUUUGGCAAGGAGUUUGAGUUCUAGAGCUACUCAAUAUAGUAGCCCUAACCACAUGUGACUCUUUAGAUUUAAUCAAAAUUCAAUCAAAUUUAAAAUUCGGUUUCUCAGUCCCAUUGGCCCCAUUUCAAGUGCUCAGUAGUCACGUGUGGCUGAUGUUGGACAGUGCAGGUACAAAACAUCUCCAUCAUUGCAGAACGGUCUAUUGGACAGAGCUGCCAGAGAGUCAGAACAGGCAGCCAAAUCAGGACAGACUUCCAGGAGGAGGCAGAUGGCAGAGAGGGGACUCUGGGAAAGUCCUUGGGUGACACUGCCCUCUAUCCUCAGUUGGAGAAAAGCCAGGACAGGGAGCGGGGCUGGGGGUGUUGGCUCUGAAACAGUGUACGACCUGACGCCUCCUGGAUCAGGGUAUAAUCUCUGGGUGUGUGCUGGCUGGCAGCCUCUCACCGAGAAGGGGAGGCAGAGGACUGCACAGGGAAUCAGCCGAAGAGGCUGAACCAGGAAGUCCUGCCCCCUCUGCAGCCAGGAGGACUGUGGGAAUUGCAGUUUGGCACUUCUGGAUUCUCUCAAAGCUUGACAGGUGCAGAAAAGCUGACAAAGGGUUCGGCUGGGCAUUUUGGGGGGCAAAGAGGGAGGGCUGGUCAGGGCUGGGGACACAUCUGGGUUUGGGGUUACCACCAAUAGAGGUAGGAGGAGGACUGCCUUCUCUCCUCUACUGCUCAAGUUCUGGGAUAGAGAGAUGCCAAAGUGGAGGACUAUGUUAGCUGGGGAGCUGAGAAAACAUGCAACAUUUGGUUAACCAGACUGGCACAUUAUGGUUAAUCGAGAUUUGCCCAGGAGAGAACAAGUUUCCGUAAUGUUAUGGAGGAGAGGUGACAGGUGGUAUGCUAUCAGCUGUUUGUCAUUCAUGCAUGUAAUCCAGUAUUUAUUGAGCCCAGUAUUUACUCAACAAUUACUAUGUGCCAAGCCCUGCUGGGAGUCAGGAAUGAAGAAGACAGACAAUACAAAGAUGUGGCAAGAGAUCUCUACACCAAUUCUGAAGCCACAUCAUGUGAUUUUUUUUUUCAGGUGAUACUUUUAUUUAAAGCUCUAUAUGUUAUUUUGAUCUUUUCAUUAAACAUGUAGUUAACAAUUUUCUUAUCCUUGUUACCUUUUUAUUUGGAAGGUUCUCAAACUUACAGAAAAGUUGCAGGAAUGACUUAUUUUGAAUGAACACCUGUAAACUGUUUACUCAGAUUCACCAAUUGUUAAUAUUUUGCACAUUUGCCCUCUCUCAAUUUCUCUCUCUUCUCAUCCACCUCACCAUUUGAGAGUAGGUUGCAAACAUAAAUUGUCACCCCUAAAAUUUUAGCAUGUCUCCUAAGAACAGGGCAUUCUUUUGUGCAACCACUAUGCAACUAUCAAAUCCAAAAACUGAACACUGAUAUAUUAUCUAAUAUAUAAAUUUAUAUAAACCACAUUUAUGUUUAUUAUUAUAUAAACCAUAUUAAAAUUUCACCCACUGUCUCAAUAUCUCUGUAACAUUUUUUCUGACCCAGGAUCCAAUUUAGUAUCAUUCAUCAGUGAUAUUUCUUUCUAACUUUAUAGGCCCGCCAGUUAUUCAUGCUGAGUACGUUUCCUUAGGAGCGUGUGUUACAAAUACAAAUUCAGUUUACCUGUCCAAUUAUUUUAUUAAUGUCUGUAAGCUCCACAAGAGCUUGGAUCUUGCCAGUUGCCACAGCCCCCUGCACACAAUAGGUGCUUAAUAAAGAUCUAUGGAAUGAAAUGCGUGAAGGAAAGCAAAGCAGGCACUUUCUUGAGUAGGGGCGACUUUCCACGAUUCUCUCUAGAUUUGUCCAAAAGUUUAAUACUCCUAACCUUCCACUCCAGCACUUGCGUUGCACACAAUAGGCGCCCCAGCAUGGUGAGCACACUCCUGCCACGCCCGCCGGCCGUGCGCCCCAGGAUAAAAAGUACCCCCGCACGCCGCGAGGGGGCGGCAGCACUUCGCUCAGACUCCGCUAGCUCCCCAGCCGGCGCCUACAGCUCCAGGAACUCGACGGGCGAGCCUUUACCGGGCGCCUCCCGAGUUCCCCGAGCUGCACUUGGCUCUCGGGGGCGCAGAUCCGGUGACAGGUCGGUGUCCAUGGCGGGGGAUUCCGGCCGGAGUCUAGGGGUCGCUCCGGGAACGCAGGCUGAGACCAUGAGCUUGUUCUGAGUCGGGCGCUGCGGGGGUCGGCGCUCUCGGUUCGGGAGCACUUCCGGGAGAAGUGUCCCGGCCGAACUGGCGACCUCUGAACCGCCAGACCUUCCUCGGGUACCUCAGCCGGCCGCUGAGCGAGGGUGCCCCUGGCCGCGCUCCGCCCCGGACGUCUCCGCGCAGGCGCCACGGCCGCGGUUCCCAUGGCGACGGGGGGCGCGUCCCUGCCCGGGCCCCGCCCCCAGCAGGCUAGGCUGCGCGGGGCCGCGAGCGGCGCGGGCAGGUGCCACGGGUUUCGGGCAGGUGGUGACGCGGGCUGGCUGCGGCGGCUCCACGACCUGCCGAAAUUCAGCCCGCAGAGACGAGCUUCACCUCCCUGGCCGGCUUCUGCCACAGAAGUGUACAGACAGCCUCAUUUGCCAUGAGACGUGACCCCAUUGGCUUUCUCAGGCUGUUGCAGAGCCCCAGCCAGGGCCUGCCAGCUCCGGUGGUUGCUUCUCCAUUUGGGAUGUUCCUGAUCCCCAUGGAUCCACAACUGUAACCAUGGUGACACGGGUCGAAGUUGGCUCCGUAACUUCCCUGGCUAGAGUGCCCGGCCUGGGUGAGAUCGCCAAAGAGGAGACCCUGCAGCGGACCUACUUCUGCCAGGCCAGUGCCGCCCCCUCUGCAGCGCUGCUCCUGGAAGGGAAGAGCCCCCUCAGGAGCAGCCCGGCCUGUCUCCUCCCUCUGCCACGGCUCGCCCCCAAACCCUUCUCCACGGGCAAGGCCCAGGACCUGAAACCCCCCGCCACGUCCCUGCGGCCCAGCCCGUCCGGGCUGUCUCCUCCUUGUGGCCUCUCCCAGGACGCAGAGGCCAAGCAUCUGGGCAAGAGGAUGCCCAGCCUGGUGGGGCAGGAGGUGGGGAGCGGGGAGGGCCUGAGGAGAGGCUCAUCUCUGUUCAGCAAGGCUGCGAUUCUGCAGCCAGGCCCCAAGGCCAUGACUCUCUUGGAAACUGCCAAAGCCAGCCCUACUCUGGGGAAGGGGAGUGGUGAGGGGUCUCAGAAGGCUGGCGCAGGGGAGUCUC
Molecule: non-coding RNA, 5143 nt
Organism: Manis javanica (Malayan pangolin)
Lineage: Eukaryota; Metazoa; Chordata; Mammalia; Pholidota; Manidae
Source: RefSeq, a predicted model, not a curated record